RNAcentral lists this ribosomal RNA (384 nucleotides) under uncultured bacterium. Its description in RNAcentral is "bacterial SSU rRNA". It matches the Rfam family "Bacterial small subunit ribosomal RNA", at positions 28 to 414 of the family's 1533-position model. The record is from RNAcentral.
GACGAACGCUGGCGGCGUGCUUAACACAUGCAAGUCGAGCGGUAAGGCCCUUUCGGGGGUACACGAGCGGCGAACGGGUGAGUAACACGUGGGUGACCUGCCCUCAGCUCUGGGAUAAGCCUGGGAAACCGGGUCUAAUACCGGAUAUGACUCCAUGACGCAUGUUGUGGGGUGGAAAGCCUUGUGCGGCUGAGGAUGGGCCCGCGGCCUAUCAGCUUGUUGGUGGGGUGAUGGCCUACCAAGGCGACGACGGGUAGCCGGCCUGAGAGGGCGACCGGCCACACUGGGACUGAGACACGGCCCAGACUCCUACGGGAGGCAGCAGUGGGGAAUAUUGGACAAUGGGGGAACCCUGAUCCAGCCAUGCCGCGUGAGUGAUGAAGG